This is a long non-coding RNA of Oncorhynchus gorbuscha (pink salmon), 783 nucleotides long. RefSeq lists it as uncharacterized. Lineage: Eukaryota; Metazoa; Chordata; Actinopteri; Salmoniformes; Salmonidae. The transcript is spliced from 3 exons. The record is from RefSeq and is a predicted model, not a curated record.
UUCAUCCUAACACUGUUCCUCUGCUACCUGUAGGUGCUGUUUCCUCCAGUCAGUUCAUCCUAACACUGUUCCUCUGCUACCUGUAGGUGCUGUUUCCUCCAGUCAGUUCAUCCUAACACUGUUCCUCUGCUACCUGUAGGUGCUGUUUCCUCCAGUCAGUUCAUCCUAACACUGUUCCUCUGCUACCUGUAGGUGCUGUUUCCUCCAGUCAGGAUGGGAUCUCUGCAGCAGAGGUGGAGCUGAGAGUCAGACCAGGAGACAACAUCACUCUCUACUGUGACUGUACCAGAACUACUGGAGUUUACAUUAUCUGGUAUAGGAACUGUUCUCACAAGUACCAGCCUCCUCUAGUUAUUUCAACUAAGUUGUUUAGUUACAUCUCUCCCCCUGGAUAUAAUCUGGAGUGGAACCCCUCUAACAAGUCCUAUGAUCUACUGAUUGAGAACAUCACUGAAUCUGACCUGGGACUCUACUACUGUGGGACUGUGGAGAAGAAGGUAGUGGAUGAUGAAGGUAAAGAAAUUGAACAGAAAGAGUUGCACCACUAUGGAAACAUCACCACUAGGAUUUCACUUGACAUCAGUCCUCCUGAGUCCUCCUCCUCCUCCCCUCCUCCUGUAGACUGUGGGCUGUGUUGGAUGUUGCUGUUCAGUCUGUGUCCUGUGUCUGCUCUCCUCUCCUUUGCCUGUGUCUACUCCUUCUGCAGAACAACAGCUCCAACUGAGACUCAGGUUCCUUUGAACAGGACGACCACCAGGGGAAGUGACAGCAGAGAGCAGACUA